GGGCCCGGGCCGGGUUUUAAGGAGAAAGGCUAAAAAUCAAAAGGGUUUUAAAUGUUAAACCAAAUGAUUCGAAACCUGUCCUGAAGGAGCAGCCAGUGGCGCUCAGGAUCUGCCAGACAGUGUUUAUUUCAGCUGCUGGAGCUGAUCCUGUCUGUGUGACAAAAGCAGCACAGGAAUGCUUUCAAUCCCACCAAUAUUUGUAUUGAUGUUGGUUUUACCACCUGGACAUCCCUGUCAACAAGUAGCUGUGGAUCUUUAAGAGAAGCAGUCCAUCUCGAUUCAGUGCUUUGCUGCAAGCCCUCUGGGCAAAAGAACUCGAGCUUUUUGACCCCUGGUAGCUCUGGGUUGUACCUGUGCCUUCAGUCCUGUUUUUUUUGCAAAAUCUUCCCCUGUUCUUUUGGUGGCCAGCAGUGAAACCCACAAGAGUGAGAUCCUGUAGUGUGGAGAAAGAAGAUGAAUUACAGAAUGUUCAGUUCUUGAGCAAGAACUACUCCUUCCAUCAUGGAAGCACCUCAGUAAAGCCCAGGGGGAUUUGCUCUUCUGUGGAGCAGAGUCCCACUGCUUUGCUUAAGACACCCUGCAUGAAAAUAAAACCAUUUUGGGGAGACAAUCCUCAGAAGGAAAUG
This is a non-coding RNA of Cyanistes caeruleus (blue tit), 626 nucleotides long. NCBI's taxonomy places the organism in Eukaryota, Metazoa, Chordata, Aves, Passeriformes, Paridae. The record is from RefSeq and is a predicted model, not a curated record.